This 253-nucleotide ribosomal RNA is filed under the name uncultured bacterium. RNAcentral describes it as "partial 16S ribosomal RNA". It matches the Rfam family "Bacterial small subunit ribosomal RNA", at positions 524 to 776 of the family's 1533-position model. The record is from RNAcentral.
UACAGAGGUCUCAAGCGUUGUUCGGAUUCAUUGGGCGUAAAGGGUGCGUAGGUGGCGCCAUAAGUCAGGUGUGAAAUCUCGGGGCUCAACCCCGAAACUGCACUUGAUACUGUGGUGCUCGAGUACUGGAGAGGAGAUUGGAAUUUACGGUGUAGCAGUGAAAUGCGUAGAUAUCGGAAGGAACAUCAGUGGCGAAAGCGACUUCCUGGACCAGUACCGACGUUCAGGCACGAAAGCGUGGGGAGCAAACAGG